GAUCAAAGAGGAAGGAGAGCAGCUUAAUUGGGGUACUUGGGUGAGCAUCAUACUUGAUUCUUCUCUGUUAGAUUGUGCUCUGGGGAGGUCUCUCAGAAGAGCUGGAAGGGGACAACUUUCACAACAUAAAACAAGCAACGUUCUAAGGGGUAUGAGGAAAAAAAACAGGGAAAUUAAAGAGAGGAGAUUGUAAGUCUUCUUUAAUCAGGUUGAGAAACACUUUAAUGGACUCAAAGAAAGGUGCAGGCGUGAGAAGAAACUACCAAGUUGGCUGGGAGAUUACAUCCGUUAGACUUGGAGCCAUAAAUAAGAGAAUAUAUCAUUUUAUUUACUUUACUAAUUUUCUAUAUGUAAUUGAACAUUGAUAGAUGAUUUGUGUGUGAUUGUCUAUUAACCUAGUCUUUCUUGAAGAUA
Humulus lupulus (European hop) is the source of this 414-nucleotide long non-coding RNA. RefSeq lists it as uncharacterized. Lineage: Eukaryota; Viridiplantae; Streptophyta; Magnoliopsida; Rosales; Cannabaceae. The transcript is spliced from 3 exons. The record is from RefSeq and is a predicted model, not a curated record.